This 63-nucleotide transfer RNA is filed under the name Caryandoides hunanica. RNAcentral's name for it is "tRNA-Arg". Lineage: Eukaryota; Metazoa; Arthropoda; Insecta; Orthoptera; Acrididae. The record is from RNAcentral.
GAAUAAGAAGCGAAAAAUUGCAUUCAGUUUCGACCUGAAAUCAUGGUAAUAUACCCUUAUUCU